CAAAAGCAGUAUUAGGUAGUUCUGUGGGCUUAUUCAGCAGCAGAUGUUUUUUAACUGCUCACACACUACGCUAUUUUGAGAACAUAGGUGUUCAAAUACUGUGGAGUCUUUUCCUCCUGAACUACCAUGAACUUCAGAGAGGCCUCUGGGGAUAGCCAAGAGUUCAUCAUGGUUGUGCAGGAGGUAGUUUAUGAGGAACAGAGAGAAUGAGAAGGCCUUGUUCUCUAGUAUUGGCACACAUCAUCCCGCAAAGUAUUAUCCUUUUUCAAGGGACAUAUUCUUCCUCCAAAUUCUUCUCUCAUGAGAAUAAGUUAAGAAUUGAAAAGUAGAAAGGAAUGAAUAUCUCUGAAACUUCAUACAUAUUUAUAUAGCAAACUAGGCAUUAUUAUUUUAAAUAUAGAUAAAUAUGCUAAUCAAACUUAAUGCGAUUUUCUGACAAGCAGUAAGCACUGGCUUGCUGGAUUAAGUCUGUGGAAAUGGAAGGUUGAUAACAGAAUUUUGGGAGUAAAGGCUGUCAUUGUGAGUGAUAAGACCAAGCUAAUAAAAUCAGACUGAUUUAACUUCCUGCAGAAACAAAUAAGAACAAAAUAAGAGCAUGUAUUUUAACAACCUUGUAUACUUAUUGCUUACUAGCUUGUGUUAGAUUGAAAACUAUGAACGUUAGAUUCAAAAACCUUAUGAUUAGUGAGUCCAGUCUCUCUGUCUCAGUAUAUGACCUCAUUUUUCCUAUGCAUGUGGUUGCCUUUCUGGUACAUUUUUGUUAGAUCAGCUGACUUUGAUGAGGAGGAACAAAGACGUGUUUGUAAGAUACUUCUGGUGGUAUUUUGCUUGUUUGUUAGUUUUCAGUGAAUGCCUGGACAAAUAAAAUUAGGUCUUUUACAAGGCUUUUCACCACCACAUUCACCAUAGAGACACCAGACCUGCAUCAGGUGGAAUUUGUUGGGUAGACUAGUUCUAGGAAAAGGAUUACAGUGCAUUCCAGAACAAGUUCAUAUCCCACCUUGUGACCUAGACCGGCCUAUUUAUCCACUCUUCAGAUACAAGUAUGUGUUCCAUGAGCCUUCUUUAUAAUAAUGUGACAGACAGCCUUUGUUAUCCUUUAAUAUAAACAGUAAACAUCCAAUAAAUGGUUUCUGGUACUACUAAUCUGUUGCUGUAUGCCAAUACCCACGCAUAGUCUCCACGUGCCUGUAGCCCGCACAAUAAGAUCUCUUUGUUAUAUUAAUACAUCGAAUUUUUUUAUUCCAGUUCUACAUUUUCAUGUUGAAUUUUAUCUGUGAAAACAUUCUUUUGUAUAUUUUUGUUGAAAUGAUAAAAAAAUAGAGGUGAAAAACGUGGCAUGUUUAGAAGCUCAUUGAUAUAGAUAAAAUGUUUUACUGGUGCUCUUUGAAUUACUGGUGCUCUUUGAAUUAACUUGUGUACUUAUUUUAAUAGGUUCAGAAUGAAUCCCACCUGUGUUGUGUGGGGCAUAAUUUGGUUUCUCAUAUGGUUCUUCAUUGGAUGGCCCAUAAGCUCGUUCUUAGGAGGACUGUAUGGAUUCUUGGCUCCACUCAUUACUUUGAUAGGGCUAGAUGACUUCAGUGAAGUUUUAUUGAAGGGAGUAAAUAUAGGGAGGGAGUGUGCUAAAAAUGUACACUCUGGAAAGGCUUUGUUUUAACAAUGAAGGCCACUACUACAACAAAGCAUUCUUCUUUAUCCUGCAGUACAUUUUACAACUGUUAAUUAUAUUCAAAAUGUUCCAAUUUCUGUCCAAAAGCAGCUUGUGUUUUCCAGAGUAUGUAAUUCACAUUUGGCAUUCUGUAAAGAAGUAAGUUUAGUCAAAUUUAUAUUAGAAACUGCAGUUUCUUUUUAUAUCAUAUAUAUCUCAAAGAAAACCUGAAUAACACCCCACAUCUCAGCCUGAUAUGUGUGUCUUGCCAAAUCAUCAAACCGUGAAGAUACAAUAAUUUGGAACUGACUUAUCUGCUGUGUCUGAACCCCUGCUGAAUGUUAAAAAUGCAGUCAUUAAAUUUGCUGGGAUAUAUUGGAUUGUUGACAUUUGCUUUAUUAAGUGAAUUAUUUCUAAAUUAGAUCUUUGUUGUUCUUUCAAGUUAAUUUCCAUAACUGCAGUUAUUAAGGUAUAAACUGAUAUGUGUUAAUAGCUUCAUUGGUCAUUAUAUUUGGCUGUCUAUAUUUUAGAAAGCACCCUUUUUGUAUGGAUUCCUUAUCAAUAUAAUUGUUCAGAUAUAUUUAUGCACCUGUUGUAAUAAAUACAGUUAUUAAAGUUAA
This is a long non-coding RNA of Sphaerodactylus townsendi, 2268 nucleotides long. RefSeq lists it as uncharacterized. The record is from RefSeq and is a predicted model, not a curated record. NCBI's taxonomy places the organism in Eukaryota, Metazoa, Chordata, Lepidosauria, Squamata, Sphaerodactylidae. The transcript is spliced from 3 exons.